GGAAAAUGUGGAAGCCAAACCCCACGGAGAGGCAGAGCAGUUGGCUCUGGACCAUGUAAGGUGUCCCUUUCUACCAAGGCUGGGUGGGGAAAAACCCUGCAGAUAGACUCUUGAACUCUGGGGCUGCACUGAUCCUGGACAGAGACUUUUGGGUUGCGGGACUUUU
Non-coding RNA from Chelonoidis abingdonii (Abingdon island giant tortoise), 166 nucleotides. Lineage: Eukaryota; Metazoa; Chordata; Testudines; Testudinidae. The record is from RefSeq and is a predicted model, not a curated record.